RNAcentral lists this long non-coding RNA (1292 nucleotides) under Sus scrofa (pig). Its description in RNAcentral is "lncRNA (ENSSSCG00025073021.1)". Lineage: Eukaryota; Metazoa; Chordata; Mammalia; Artiodactyla; Suidae. The record is from RNAcentral.
UUUUUUUUUUUUUUUUUUUUUUUUUGGCUUUUUAGGGCCGCACCCAUGGCUAGGGGUCGAAUUGGAGCUCCAGCUGCCAGCCUACACCACAGCCACAGCAACGUGGGAUCCCAGCUGCGUCUUUGACCUGCACCACAGCUCACGUCAACACCAGAUCCUUAACCCACUAAGCAAGGCCAGGGGUCGAACCCACAUCCUUGUGGUUCCCAGUCGGAUUCUUACUUAUUAUUACUCAGGGUCUCAUGAAGAGAGGGGUAAUGGGGGGGGCCUCGGGGCUGUGGAGAUACUUACAAUCGUGGUUUUUAGAGGACAGGAAAACGUCUGGUCCUUGGAAAGGGACGGUGGUAGGGGGAAGAGACAGAAUCCACAUCCACACUCAAAAACCCAGGAAAGUUAAGGAACUGCAAGAAAAGAAAAAUCUCCAGAGGUCUCCUUUCAGCAUUAAAGUAAUUCACAUCCAAGAUAAUGAGCUUAAAUGCAUGCCUUGGGCUUGCGGUAUCUAAAAGUUGCUCUUUAAAACAGCCCUGGUAACUUUCACUUCCGGAGGGCUGGGAUAACUUUCAGGAACAAUUAGAUGAAGGUGAACUCACAGAAGGUGUGGCUCUUCAGGAGGGGCCAGGACGACGGUUUUCCCGUUAACGAAGCUGACCUCCCACACUGAAGAGCAGGAUGCUUGGCAAUGGAAGAGGAAACAGGACACCCCGCCCUCAACACACACACGCAAUAUGACCUUGUCAAUUCGUAGUGUGCAAGGAAGACCAGAUCAUGAGGUGAGUGAAGCAGGAGGGCUGGGCAGGUAGAAAGCGAUGGGUUUCCUGUUUGAAGGAAGCCCCUGCCAAACCUGGAAGGGGUUAGCAGAGCAAAAGUUAUUUUUAAGACUGGCGAAGUUUGAAUUGGCUUAAAGAGAGUCCUUGACUAGAGGCAGGGAGUGAAACCAGAGAAUAAAUAAUACCUGGACCCACAUGUCAGGAAAAAAUCAGAAGGAAAAAAAGAAAAAGAUCUUCGUUUUCACAGGAUAGGUCUUGAACCAUGAAAUUGGCAACCUUUGCUAUUGGAUAUGCCCAUUACGGAGCCUCAAGGAGAGGCUGGGGGCAGGGGCUCUAGCACUGCCCUCAUGGACCAGGGCUACUCAGACCAGCCUUGGAGGUGAACCACUGAUGUCCUCUCAUUGUGUUGUUGUUGUUGUUGUCUUUUUAGGGCCGCAUCCACAGCACAUGGAGGUUCCCAGGCUAGGGGUUUAGCUGGAGCUGUAGCCAUCAGCCUACGCCACAACCAUAGCAAGGUCACAUCUG